GCCGUGCUGGUCAGCGGCGGAAGGGCCCGGUCACCUCGUACGUGAUCCCGCCCGUCCCGGCGGUCUCGCCGCUGGUGCCGCGC
RNAcentral lists this transfer RNA (83 nucleotides) under Nonomuraea spiralis. RNAcentral describes it as "tRNA-Thr". Lineage: Bacteria; Bacillati; Actinomycetota; Actinomycetes; Streptosporangiales; Streptosporangiaceae. The record is from RNAcentral.